AGGCGCGUAGCUCAGCCCGGUUAGAGCACCACCUUGACAUGGUGGGGGUCGUUGGUUCGAAUCCAAUCGCGCCUACCA
This 78-nucleotide transfer RNA is filed under the name Gammaproteobacteria bacterium. RNAcentral describes it as "tRNA-Val". It matches the Rfam family "tRNA". From Rfam's summary of the family: Transfer RNA (tRNA) molecules are approximately 80 nucleotides in length. Lineage: Bacteria; Pseudomonadati; Pseudomonadota; Gammaproteobacteria. RNAcentral also lists the same sequence under 1 other name. The record is from RNAcentral.